GAUAUACUCAGAUUCAGCGGCUGCUCUGUUGGCUGUCCAGCAUGGGACAUCUAGGGCUCAUCCUGACCUGCUGUGGGAGAUCCUGUGCUGCCUCUUAAGGGUUGAGAAAUCAGGGCGCUCCGUUGAGUUUAUGUGGGUGGCCUGGUCAUUCGGGGGUAGAAGGUAAUGAAUACAGCGGACAGAUUAGCGAAAGAGUCUCCACUCAGUGGAGUUUGAGAUCUUGAUGGGAAGAUGCGAGUGGUACAGCAUUUGUAAGGAAAAAUUAGAGCAACAGUUGGCAGAAAGAAUGGACAGAAGAAAAAAGAGGAAGGGAGUAUUUCUCUGUGCAGCCGUCAAUUAAAAGGAAAAGGAUGGGUUAAAGACUGGGUGGAGGGACGAGGUGGUCCUAACCAGGCUUAAACUGGGGCACUGUGGGCUGGCCCAGUACCUUUUUAAAGUCAUAGGGAAACAUCCGGAUGGGUUAUGUCAGUGCGGGAUGCCUGAAACAGUUCAGCAUGUACUUUUCUCUCGUAGAAGGUAUGGGCAUGAAAGGCGGAUAUUGUACAAAGAAUUGUCGGAUCUGGGGUAUCGCUCUUUUUCCUGUAUGACUAUCUUACCGCUGAUGCGCAGUCUCCACUAAUUUGUCGGGCCUAUAAGUAGGUAAUAAAACCUAGCCUAUGGAGGGCAGCAUUACACUCCCAGUGUACAGCCUGCGGGAAUUUCAUUCGAAGAAGAACUCGGAGCCGGACCGUUGUAUAACACAAUCCCUGACCAACUCUGCCUGCUCUGUGUGCAUCUUCACCUGAUCCUGCAACACUCGGAAUUACUCCAGCCACGCUCCACACCUCCUCAGCCUGCCUUCCCUCAAACUCUCCCCUGUUUUCGAACUGUCAGCCCAGGUUGCCUAUUUUCUCUCUGGGUCAGCUUAGUUGUGAGUUUAGGUCUUUGUAGUGUUUGUAUAGUUAUCGUGUUGGGUUAUUUAGUCUUUGGUAGACUUUCCGUACUUACCAUAGGUCGUUUUCUUCCUAGAGAGUUUUUAGUUGUUUUGCCCUGCAGCCUCAGUUACCAUUUUCUACUGCCAGUGCUUUACUGUGAUCUUUUGUUGUUUAUUAAAAUCUUUGUGUA
Notolabrus celidotus (New Zealand spotty) is the source of this 1104-nucleotide long non-coding RNA. RefSeq lists it as uncharacterized. Lineage: Eukaryota; Metazoa; Chordata; Actinopteri; Labriformes; Labridae. The record is from RefSeq and is a predicted model, not a curated record. The transcript is spliced from 2 exons.